CAUCGGGCAGGUAGAAUUCCUCUGUUUGUAAAUAUGUUCAUAGUUUGCUAUGUUUUUAUUUAUAAAUGGGUAUAGUUCUCUUUAUAGAUUAGAGUGUUCUGUUUAUAUGUGCAUAUAUUGAUAGAUCUGUAGAGUUAAAUGUGGAUAUAUAGUCAGAGAAGUGAUAUAUUUUAUUGUAAAUAUACAUUUAUAGUUUUUUAGAGUUAAAUUUUUAUUUGUAUAGUGUAAAAAAAUAUUUUAUAUAUAUGAAGUUAUAUUUCUAAAUGUGCGUAGUUAUUUAGACAGUGGAAUAUGAAUGUUUAGAUGAAUACAUUGAUGGAUAGGCUGCUCUUUGAGUAGGCCUAGGCUGCAUUUUUGCCUCUUUCCCCCCUCGGCUGUCUUUCUCACCUCUUGCUUUUCCCCCUGUGCCUCCUGUGUCCCCUCUCCCUGUGCUGGGUUCGAGCUGGCGGCCAGGCCGGGCGGAGCAGCACUUCCAGCCCCGGCUGUCCCUGGAGCGGUGAGAGCUGCGACUGGCCCCAGGCGCUGUCCCCUGAGGAGCUGCUGAAGGAUGCUGCAAGGAAUACUUUGAGGACAGCCAGGGAUUGACGGGAGUCAGCAGGGAGAAGCUGAUGGGCAGCAGCAGGAGCAGGGAACGGGGACCUGCUGCUGCCAGCCUGGAGAGAGCCCAGAUGUCCCAUCUGCUGUCCCUGUCCAGGAGAGCUGCUCUGCACGGGAGGAGGAGACUGAUGGAGAGGCUUUGAAGAUGGGGCCUCUGCUAGGAGUGCGGUUUAUUGAUGUCUGGACUUAGACAAUAGAAAGAGAUAGUUAUAUGGAUAUGUACAUGUCUAGGCUUCUAUCUGUAUAGGAAUAUUUCUUUAUACAUGUUGUUUUAUUUAUGGAUGCAUUACAUAUAUAUGAAUGCGUAUGUAUUCAAAUGUUUUUGUAAUUACAUAUAUGUGUAUAUAUGUAUCUAAGUAUAUAUGUUUGUGGUUAUAUCUGUGUUUAGUUCUAUUUCCUAGCUUAACAGCUGUGGAGGUAUCUGUUUUGAUGCAGUUAUGGGUAUAUGUCUAUUUAAAUAGGUAUAUUGGAAUUCAUUUUGGUCGCUAUGUCUCUUUUAAUAUUUUCUAAUGUAUAUUGAUCUAUUUAUGUCUAUUUAAUAUUUACAUAUGUGUCUUGAAGUAUAGCUGUAUAUUUGUAUUGAUACAGUUUGGUGGAUAUUUAGGAUGGUGAUAUUUGUAUAUGUAUAGAUAGGGUUUUUUUGUAUAUCUACUGAUAUAUAUUAUAUGUAAUAUGUUUAAUCUGUAUUUACCUCUCAAGAUUUUUAGACUUGUAUAUGUACGUAUAUCUUCAUUUAUGUAUAUUUUUAAUUCCAUUUAAUGUGUAUGAAGUGCUAUAGUUUGUAAUUCUAUAUAUUGUAUUCUUAGUGUAGGGCUGUUUAGAGAGGGAGUACUGGUUUUUGUAUUUCUGUAUGGGCUGUACGCUUGUAGUAAUAGGUAAUAAAUUAAGUCCUUAAACACCCAAUUGAUCUUAGUUGUUGUAGAGGUUGUUAAUAAAUAAGGUUUUUCUUAUCUGAAGUUGGUAUUUGUAUAUUUUUACAGAGACUGGUUGUAAUAAUCUAAUAAAUUCCUGGUUUUACCCUAAAUUGAGAUUGUAUAGUUCUGUAUUGU
Molecule: long non-coding RNA, 1646 nt
Organism: Serinus canaria (Common canary)
Lineage: Eukaryota; Metazoa; Chordata; Aves; Passeriformes; Fringillidae
Exons: 3
Source: RefSeq, a predicted model, not a curated record